GUACCUGCGGAGGGAUCAUUACACAAAUAUGAAGGCGGGCUGGAACCUCUCGGGGUUACAGCCUUGCUGAAUUAUUCACCCUUGUCUUUUGCGUACUUCUUGUUUCCUUGGUGGGUUCGCCCACCACUAGGACAAACAUAAACCUUUUGUAAUUGCAAUCAGCGUCAGUAACAAAUUAAUAAUUACAACUUUCAACAACGGAUCUCUUGGUUCUGGCAUCGAUGAAGAACGCAGCGAAAUGCGAUAAGUAGUGUGAAUUGCAGAAUUCAGUGAAUCAUCGAAUCUUUGAACGCACAUUGCGCCCUUUGGUAUUCCAAAGGGCAUGCCUGUUCGAGCGUCAUUUGUACCCUCAAGCUUUGCUUGGUGUUGGGCGUCUUGUCUCUAGCUUUGCUGGAGACUCGCCUUAAAGUAAUUGGCAGCCGGCCUACUGGUUUCGGAGCGCAGCACAAGUCGCACUCUCUAUCAGCAAAGGUCUAGCAUCCAUUAAGCCUUUUUUUCAACUUUUGACCUCGGAUCAGUAGGAACCCCGCCUUUCC
RNAcentral lists this ribosomal RNA (536 nucleotides) under fungal sp. Its description in RNAcentral is "eukaryotic LSU rRNA". The stretch from base 187 to 340 matches the Rfam family "5.8S ribosomal RNA". Lineage: Eukaryota; Fungi. The record is from RNAcentral.